This is a small nuclear RNA of Zalophus californianus (California sea lion), 190 nucleotides long. Its record names the gene U2. It matches the Rfam family "U2 spliceosomal RNA". Rfam says of the family: U2 is a small nuclear RNA (snRNA) component of the spliceosome (involved in pre-mRNA splicing). Complementary binding between U2 snRNA (in an area lying towards the 5' end but 3' to hairpin I) and the branchpoint sequence (BPS) of the intron results the bulging out of an unpaired adenosine, on the BPS, which initiates a nucleophilic attack at the intronic 5' splice site, thus starting the first of two transesterification reactions that mediate splicing. NCBI's taxonomy places the organism in Eukaryota, Metazoa, Chordata, Mammalia, Carnivora, Otariidae. The record is from Ensembl.
AUUGCGUCUCUGCAUAUUAGUGAAGAUGAAGUGUAGUGUCUGUUCUUAUCAGUUUAGUAUCUGAUAUGUUUUCUAUCCGAGGACAUGUAUUCAAUGGAUUUUUGGAGCAGGGAGAUGGAAUAUGAGCUUGCUCCACCCACUCCAUACAUGGACCCGGUAUUGCAGUACUUCCAGGAACGGUGCACCCCCC